AUGAAGCAUAUAAGAGAAACCUCAGAGAUAUGCAAGGCCGCAGAGCUAAACAGAAACAUUUUCGACGGCUCGAAUGCGCUAAGUUCUAACCCUGAAACCGUGGAGGGUGAAAACAAGCUGAGGGAAGCGACGAAGAAGAUCAUUAACCGUUGCCGCAAGCUAGCGGGCAUGCUUGGGUGCGCUGCCUUGGUUGACGUGCAUGUUCCUCCUCCUGGUGGGUCGACACGUGCCCUAGCUUCAUCAAGCCACACCGGAGGAGGUUCCUCGAGCCAUGUCGCCUCGUCAUCUCGCCCUGUUAACGAGACCGAGGAAGAAGAGGAAGUGGACGAGGAGGAAGAGGAAGAAGAGGGAGAAGAGGAAGGAGGUGAUGAUGGAGAAGGUGAUGAGGAGGAGUACGACGACGAUGAUGGACCUCAACCGACUCAGCCAACCCAACCGGACGAGGGCCACUCAAAGACAAACGAGGAGCGUGCCGCCAAGAGGGGGAGGGGGAGGAACUAG
RNAcentral lists this ribosomal RNA (501 nucleotides) under Triticum aestivum (bread wheat). RNAcentral describes it as "partial small subunit ribosomal RNA". Lineage: Eukaryota; Viridiplantae; Streptophyta; Magnoliopsida; Poales; Poaceae. The record is from RNAcentral.